UACGGAGGGUGCGAGCGUUGUCCGGAAUCACUGGGCGUAAAGGGCGCGUAGGCGGCCUGAUAAGUAGGGGGUGAAAUCCUGCGGCUUAACCGCAGGGCUGCCUUCUAAACUGUCAGGCUAGAGCACAGUAGAGGCAGGUGGAAUUCCCGGUGUAGCGGUGGAAUGCGUAGAGAUCGGGAAGAACAUCAGUGGCGAAGGCGGUCUGCUGGGCCGUUGCUGACGCUGAGGCGCGACAGCGUGGGGAGCAAACAGG
RNAcentral lists this ribosomal RNA (253 nucleotides) under uncultured bacterium. RNAcentral's name for it is "partial 16S ribosomal RNA". It matches the Rfam family "Bacterial small subunit ribosomal RNA", at positions 524 to 776 of the family's 1533-position model. The record is from RNAcentral.